This is a long non-coding RNA of Cyprinodon tularosa, 1681 nucleotides long. RefSeq lists it as uncharacterized. NCBI's taxonomy places the organism in Eukaryota, Metazoa, Chordata, Actinopteri, Cyprinodontiformes, Cyprinodontidae. The record is from RefSeq and is a predicted model, not a curated record. The transcript has 3 exons.
UUCAAAGCUUUUUGACAUUUAACCUCUGAUCUUAUGUUGGAAAGAUCCAUUGUUUACCAGCAAAACAAUAUUGAAGACAACAUUGAUAAAUACGCCACAGAGAAAUAUCAUGGGAAAGUUUUAAAACACAUUCAUAUAUCUGUACUCUCAAUCUCUCUGUUUUUCCUCAUCUUUUCAUAGAAAACAUGGCUCUACACACCUAAAUAAUCACACCUUUCAUCCGUGAUUAUUUUUUUCUAAAGCUUUUAUAAUAAUACUAAAUGCUGUAUGAUGUGGGCUUGUAAUCAAAGUGAAUUGUGCAGAGAAUCUAGGCCAAAUGAGGCAGAUUUUGUUUAUAUUAGGAAGUGAGUAAUGUGUAAGGAACAAAAUGAUGCCACAUCAUUGAUGAAAAUGAAAGCAAGACUUAAAAGACGAACAUCAAGAAAACAACAGAAAUCAUUAUGAAAAAAAAAUCAUAGAAAAUGAAAAUGACUUUUUAUGGCCUCCAAAUGUUUGAGUGUUUACUUGACAAAUCUUACAUCCUGGGUAAUCUCCUCCCGAUUCUGGAGCAGGGUGUCACUGAGUUCAUGGACAGUCUGAGAUGCAACCUGAGCUAACCUCAACAUUUUGGAUUCUAUAUUCUCCAAGAAUCACCUUUCACUCCAUGAAACCAUGCAGCGCUGUUCUGCAGGAGGAACCUUGGUCCGUCAGCAACAGUGUAGUCUGACAAUAGGUACAAAUGGUUCAUCAUAAAAGUUAGUAUAUCAUUACCUGACCUGUAGAGAUCUCCUUGCAAUACCCUCUCCAAAUACUCCCAGCUGCUGAGAGUCUAAAAAAAAACAAGAAAAUGUGACUUAAAAAUUCAGCAGCUGGCAGGUGACCAUGGAUGGAGUUACUCCAGCAGCCUACCCUAAGCAUCUCUCCAAAAUGUGCUGUGGCUAAUGGAUUGAGGAUUUUAAGUCCCCUCUGGAGCUUCUUCACAUCAUCCAUAUGUUCUGUAUGUGGAUCCCCUUUAUACUAACCUCCACAAUCAACGCAGAGACUCUUUCUACAUCAAAGGAAGCUUCCAGCGAGGCAAACAGGAAAGACUGAACAUCAGAUACCCACAGUCAAGGGAUCAGAGAGCCUUUUCCAGCAGAGAGAUUUCAUGAACUCAGUUAAGAGUUUUAUCAGAGUGUUGCUCUGUCGGUCUGGAACAACAUUAUGGGAUACCUCUUCUCCUCCUCUGUGCAACCUUAAUGCAGGUGGAUAGAAAGCUGUUGGUGCUCUUCACACCUGAUUGCACCUUGAAGGCCUACCUAGAGCUAGAUGGAAGCAAGCUGAAGACAAAAUUCGAUCUCAUUACAGCAAAGAAGAGCUCCUUUGUGAAGUUGUGGAACCAUUCCAGUUGCUAAUGGAGAACAAACUGGAAGAGCUCCUUUCAGAAUCACAUGUUAUUUUAAAAAAGCAUCCUCACCACCUCCAUGGCCACACCAGAAGGAGAGAGGAGCUUCUCAACCUGGAAUAGAGCGAAUGCCUUUGUUAGAAGCACCAAGGCAGAGGGCAGGCUGAAUGCAAGGCCAUGCUAAAAAAUAAAAGAAAUGAGAGCAAAAGUUUUGUUGACAAAGUUUGUUCUAGUAUUAGAAUUUCUGACCUUUCCUGUCCCCAUCAACAAAAUUUUACAAAUAUCACCAGCAACUAUUUGGUCAAACACACAGGUGCC